This is a non-coding RNA of Podarcis lilfordi (Lilford's wall lizard), 94 nucleotides long. The record is from the annotation of a GenBank genome assembly. NCBI's taxonomy places the organism in Eukaryota, Metazoa, Chordata, Lepidosauria, Squamata, Lacertidae.
AAACAAUGGAAGCUCUAAGAUUGCACAUGACAUGUCAUAUAAUAUAUAUUAUAUGACAUGUCAUGUGCAAUCUUAGAGCUUCUAUUGUUUGUGU